This is a long non-coding RNA of Tripterygium wilfordii, 1338 nucleotides long. RefSeq lists it as uncharacterized. The transcript has 2 exons. NCBI's taxonomy places the organism in Eukaryota, Viridiplantae, Streptophyta, Magnoliopsida, Celastrales, Celastraceae. The record is from RefSeq and is a predicted model, not a curated record.
CAAGACUGUACAGCAUAAAAAUCAAAUAAAGUAAAUAACAAUUGUGGACCCAAAGGCUUGGAUAAGAUAUCCAAGUAAAAGGAAGCCCAAAAAGUAAAAGGAAUAAAUUCAAUAACCGGCCCAUGUGUGUAUGAGCCCAAUGUCAGACUUAAGAGUUAAGACUAUAACCAGAUAGGGCAGGAAGAACUCGAAGAAAGCAGAUGAAGUUUCAAGGGACCAGACGAACUGAACCAGAAGACCCGAAUCUUGUCACCGUCUGCAUUCAUCUCUCUCAUAUCUUGCUCCAAGGGAAAAUACGCUGCCGUUCUUGCAAUACCCACUGUCUUGCUUCAAGGGAAAAUACGUUGAUGGAGCAGAGAAAAGGUGGCUCUCACGGGGAACAAAAACGUGCUUUCUGCUUUAGUAUGUGAUUUUUGUGUGCUCUUGAACAUUUUUUUGGAUAUGAGAAGAAGAAACGAGAUUGAAAUUGUCACCAUAAUAAGUAAUACUAGAUACUAUUGGCUUUCACUUGGACAUAUAUCCUCUUUUAACAUUAUGCAGAUCUUGACUUUGCAUUUCAUGUUUGUCAUGUGCCUGUGACUUUCAACUGGCAAUGCUAAUUUGGUGCUCCAUGGGACUUGAUUUUGCAACUUAGUUUUACUAAGAAACUCUGUUUAGGCCAUUUGAAGUGAUGUGAAGGGAUAAUAUUAAUCAUAAACAAGACAAGAUAAGAAGGGGCGAUAAUGACUUUGCUAAGUAACUUCUGCUGCAGCACUUCUUUGCACGCUGGUGGCAGCAUUAUGUGCAAAGCAUAGACUAAGAUGAUUAUCUUUUUGGCAAGGACAUGGAAUUGAGCUACUAGAUCCAAGUUGAAAUUGGAGGGGAUAAAAAGGGAAGUAAACUAGAAGGGGGAAAAAAGCUGCCCAAUGAUUUAGGUUAAAAUAUUUCCUUGAUUAAUCAGAUGAGCUCUUAAGACUGAUUACAUUAUACCCUCUUUUUUUUUUUCACUUUUGCAUCACAUCAGGCAAAAAUUGCGUCUUGCUGUAUAAAUUACUAGUAUUCUUGUGACCUUUGCCUCAAAGACCAAAACCCAAUAUUAAUGGCCUGUCAAGGCAACACAAGACAGCAUUUUCGUUCUACUGAUUACUGACUAAAUCUUGCAUUGCUGGUUGGGCGGGUUUAUACUUGUGUUUGUUUUUCUAUGGUCUGUAUAUUAAACCCUUGUUUUUGUUUUCCUAUGGUCUAUAUAUUCUGAUCAAGAUUGAUCAGGAGCGCAAUUGUAAUCCCUGAAUUUUGAUCAUGUUGUGAUUCUGAAAAUUCUUCAAUUAAAAUGAGCUCAGGUAACUGUAGCUCUGGAUA